GACGAACGCUGGCGGCGUGCUUAACACAUGCAAGUCGAACGGAAAGGCCCUGCUUUUGUGGGGUGCUCGAGUGGCGAACGGGUGAGUAGCACGUGAGUAACCUGCCCUUGACUUUGGGAUAACUUCAGGAAACUGGGGCUAAUACCGGAUAGGAGCUCCUGCUGCAUGGUGGGGGUUGGAAAGUUUCGGCGGUUGGGGAUGGACUCGCGGCUUAUCAGCUUGUUGGUGGGGUAGUGGCUUACCAAGGCUUUGACGGGUAGCCGGCCUGAGAGGGUGACCGGCCACAUUGGGACUGAGAUACGGCCCAGACUCCUACGGGAGGCAGCAGUGGGGAAUAUUGCACAAGGGGCGGAAGCCUGAGGCAGCAACGCCGCGUGCGGGAUGACGGCCUUCGGGUUGUAAACCGCUUUCGCCUGUGACGAAGCGUGAGUGACGGUAAUGGGUAAAGAAGCACCGGCUAACUACGU
This 467-nucleotide ribosomal RNA is filed under the name uncultured bacterium. RNAcentral describes it as "partial 16S ribosomal RNA". It matches the Rfam family "Bacterial small subunit ribosomal RNA", at positions 28 to 506 of the family's 1533-position model. The record is from RNAcentral.